Molecule: non-coding RNA, 86 nt
Organism: Coniochaeta pulveracea
Lineage: Eukaryota; Fungi; Ascomycota; Sordariomycetes; Coniochaetales; Coniochaetaceae
Source: the annotation of a GenBank genome assembly
GCCCGCUUGGCUCAGUGGUAGAGCGUGUCACUAGUAAUCACAAAAAUGUGAUGACAAGGUCAUCAGUUCGAUUCUGAUAGUGGGCA